Molecule: long non-coding RNA, 534 nt
Organism: Bufo gargarizans (Asiatic toad)
Lineage: Eukaryota; Metazoa; Chordata; Amphibia; Anura; Bufonidae
Exons: 4
Source: RefSeq, a predicted model, not a curated record
CAUGCAGUGUCCAGCGGUGCAGGUGGAGGUAUGUGUCCAGUCACUGCCAUCGUCUGUCAGGAUUACAGGGGCAGGUAAUGACUGGAGUGUAUGGGCUGCCGGGAGGUGUAGGUCAUGUGACUCUGGGACGUGUGGUGAUGACGUUAGGUCCCUGUGAAGGAUAACGGACGUGUGAGAACAGAAAGUUGGGUCUCCGCACACCGGACCCUCGCAGGACGCACGGAGCGAGAACAGCAGGAGAGACGGAGAAUUCCAGCCCCAAAGUAAUAGGAAAACGUGAUUUUCUGUCCUUCCACGUCCCUGCAGAGACAUUGUGAAGCUUCUCCUCCAUCUCCACCGCUCAGCCAUGGCAGAAAAGUUCCUACAAUACAGGAUCUACUCAGUGGAGAUCUUCUAUAUCAGAUCCUUCUCCUGACUGACCUAUCAAGGAUGGACAGGGACAAGAUGGCGGAGAGUAUAAUAAAUCUCACCCUAGAGAUCCUCUUCCGGCUUACUGGAGAGGACUACACAGUAGUGAAGAAGACCUCUAGUGAG